This 256-nucleotide long non-coding RNA is filed under the name Vigna radiata. RNAcentral describes it as "long non-coding RNA (VRAD_LNC002631)". Lineage: Eukaryota; Viridiplantae; Streptophyta; Magnoliopsida; Fabales; Fabaceae. The record is from RNAcentral.
GGCGGCGACACCCAUCACAUCUAUUUUUCCUCCCUUAGCAUCACGUGCUCAGAUUGCUAAAAUUAAGAGUGAUGCUAAGUAUUAUGUUUGGGAUGACCCAUGUCUAUGGAAGUUGUGUAGUGACCAGGUUACUAAGAGAUGCAUUUCGGACCAUGAGAUUGACUCGGUCCUGCAAUUUUGUCAUGCCUCCUCACCUAGUGGUAAUCUGGGGAUUCAACGAACAGCUCGCAGGGUGCUUGAUUGUGGUUUGUACUGG